UACACACGGAUAACAUACCGAAAGGUAUGCUAAUACGGGAUAAUAUAUUUGAGAGGCAUCUCUUAAAUAUCAAAGGUGAGCCAGUACAGGAUGGACCCGCGUCUGAUUAGCUAGUUGGUAAGGUAACGGCUUACCAAGGCGACGGUCAGUAGCCGACCUGAGAGGGUGAUCGGCCACAUUGGAACUGAGACACGGUCCAAACUCCUACGGGAGGCAGCAGUGGGGAAUAUUGCACAAUGGGCGAAAGCCUGAUGCAGCAACGCCGCGUGAGUGAUGAAGGCCUUCGGGUCGUAAAACUCUGUCCUCAAGGAAGAUAAUGACGGUACUUGAGGAGGAAGCCCCGGCUAACUACGUGCCAGCAGCCGCGGUAAUACGUAGGGGGCUAGCGUUAUCCGGAUUUACUGGGCGUAAAGGGUGCGUAGGCGGUCUUUCAAGUCAGGAGUGAAAGGCUACGGCUCAACCGUAGUAAGCUCUUGAAACUGGGAGACUUGAGUGCAGGAGAGGAGAGUGGAAUUCCUAGUGUAGCGGUGAAAUGCGUAGAUAUUAGGAGGAACACCAGUUGCGAAGGCGGCUCUCUGGACUGUAACUGACGCUGAGGCACGAAAGCGUGGGGAGCAAACAGGAUUAGAUACCCUGGUAGUCCACGCUGUAAACGAUGAGUACUAGGUGUCGGGGGUUACCCCCUUCGGUGCCGCAGC
RNAcentral lists this ribosomal RNA (698 nucleotides) under uncultured bacterium. RNAcentral's name for it is "bacterial SSU rRNA". It matches the Rfam family "Bacterial small subunit ribosomal RNA", at positions 134 to 852 of the family's 1533-position model. The record is from RNAcentral.